This 443-nucleotide ribosomal RNA is filed under the name uncultured bacterium. RNAcentral describes it as "partial 16S ribosomal RNA". It matches the Rfam family "Bacterial small subunit ribosomal RNA", at positions 338 to 795 of the family's 1533-position model. The record is from RNAcentral.
CCUACGGGUGGCAGCAGUGGGGGAUAUUGGGCAAUGGGGGCAACCCUGAUCCAGCAACGCCGCGUGAAUGAAGAAGUCUUUCGGGUUGUAAACCUCUAUCAUCAGGGACGAAAGAAAUGACGGUACCUGAGUAAUAAGCCCCGGCUAACUACGUGCCAGCAGCCGCGGUAAUACGUAGGUGGCAAGCGUUAUCCGGAUUUACUGGGUGUAAAGGGAGCGUAGGCGGUAAUGCAAGUCUGGAGUGAAAGGCGGGGGCCCAACCCGCGGCCUGCUCUGGAAACUGUGGAACUGGAGUGCAGGAGAGGCAGGCGGAAUGCCUAGUGUAGCGGUGAAAUGCGUAGAUAUUAGGAGGAACACCAGUGGCGAAGGCGGUCUGCUGGACAGCAACUGACGUUGAGGCGCGAAAGCGUGGGGAGCAAACAGGAUUAGAUACCCGUGUAGUC